GACGAACGCUGGCGGCGUGCCUAAUACAUGCAAGUAGAACGCACAGUUUAUACCGUAGCUUGCUACACCAUAGACUGUGAGUUGCGAACGGGUGAGUAACGCGUAGGUAACCUGCCUGGUAGCGGGGGAUAACUAUUGGAAACGAUAGCUAAUACCGCAUAAUAUUAAUUAUUGCAUGAUAAUUGAUUGAAAGGUGCAAAUGCAUCACUACCAGAUGGACCUGCGUUGUAUUAGCUAGUAGGUGAGGUAACGGCUCACCUAGGCGACGAUACAUAGCCGACCUGAGAGGGUGAUCGGCCACACUGGGACUGAGACACGGCCCAGACUCCUACGGGAGGCAGCAGUAGGGAAUCUUCGGCAAUGGACGAAAGUCUGACCGAGCAACGCCGCGUGAGUGAAGAAGGUUUUCGGAUCGUAAAGCUCUGUUGUAAGAGAAGAACGGGUGUGAGAGUGGAAAGUUCACACUGUGACGGUAUCUUACCAGAAAGGGACGGCUAACUACGUGC
RNAcentral lists this ribosomal RNA (506 nucleotides) under uncultured bacterium. Its description in RNAcentral is "bacterial SSU rRNA". It matches the Rfam family "Bacterial small subunit ribosomal RNA", at positions 28 to 508 of the family's 1533-position model. The record is from RNAcentral.